This 65-nucleotide transfer RNA is filed under the name Ricinoides karschii. RNAcentral's name for it is "tRNA-Gln". The record is from RNAcentral. Lineage: Eukaryota; Metazoa; Arthropoda; Arachnida; Ricinulei; Ricinoididae.
UAUCUAGAGGUGUUUAGGCACAGAAAAUUUUGAUUUUUCAGGGUUUGGUUUACCAAUAUGGAUAU